RNAcentral lists this small RNA (789 nucleotides) under Pan troglodytes (chimpanzee). RNAcentral describes it as "processed transcript". The record is from RNAcentral. Lineage: Eukaryota; Metazoa; Chordata; Mammalia; Primates; Hominidae.
CUGGUCUCGAACUCCCGACCUCAGGUGAUCUGACUGCCUCAGUCUCCCAAAGUGCUGGGAUUACAGAUUUUAAAAUGGAAAUUAUCAAGGAAACAAAGACAGUUUCACGCUCAAAUAGGAAAAUGUCCUUGCUCAACAGAACUCUUGUAAGGAAGCCAUCAAUGAGACCCAGAAACUUGACAGAAGUCCUCUUAAAUACACAGCACUUGGAGUUCUUCGGGGAGUUCCUCAAGGAACGGAAGGCUAAAAGCCCAUUGCAAUUUCUCACAGCUGUACAGAAGAUCAGUAUAGAGACCAAUGAAAAGAUUUGCAAGUCUCUCAUAGAAAAUGUAAUCAAGACUUUCUUCCAAGGCCAACUCUCUCCUGAAGAAAUGCUGCAGUGUGAUGCCCCUAUUAUCAAAGAAAUCGCUUCCAUGCGUCAUGUCACCACAAGCACACUGUUAACGCUCCAGGGACAUGUUAUGAAAUCUAUAGAAGAAAAGUGAAGAAAGGCUGGAUGAGAAUGAUCAGCUUUAUCAGGAGUUUUUGCAAGUACCGCAGAUUUAUGUUGAAUCCUAGUAAGCGCCAGGAAUUUGAAGACUAUCUUCACCAGGAAAUGCAAAAUAGCAAGGAAAAUUUCACCACAGCACACAACACAUCGGGACGUUCAGCUCCACCCUCCACAAAUGUCCGGAGUGCAGACCAAGAGAAUGGAGAAAUAACCCUUGUAAAGCGUCGUAUAUUUGGCCACAGGAUUAUCACUGUCAACUUUGCGAUCAAUGAUCUAUAUUUCUUUUCUGAAAUGGAGAA